RNAcentral lists this long non-coding RNA (1230 nucleotides) under Mus musculus (house mouse). RNAcentral's name for it is "long non-coding RNA chr11:3193080-3194310". Lineage: Eukaryota; Metazoa; Chordata; Mammalia; Rodentia; Muridae. The record is from RNAcentral.
AGCGGAGCUCUCCACCAGGGGGAGAAGGAUGCAUAGACCCUGCAGAAACAGCGCGAGUGCAGCCGUGACUGCGAGCGACCUUACGCACGCCCUGCUCGCACUUCCACGCAUGGACCAGAGCCUUGUGGGUAGGCAGCAUCUCCUGCACUUCUACAGAAGAAAGCAGAAGCCCCGACCAAGCCGUUCCAGGACAAAGUUCCUAGGAACGCGCGCUCCGCCAACUUCAAAACGCAAGGGCGAGCCAGUCAAAAGCUGGAGGCGCUAGGCCGGGCCUCGUACCUGAGGGAGGUGACUCCUCAGCAGACGCUAGACAGAGGUGGUAGCAAAGGGCCCCAGCCCAGAGUUUCCGGCCCUGCGCCGACGGCGGCUCCUCCCCCGUCUCCACGGCAACGCGACCCGCGCCGGAAGCUGCUCUGUCCAGCUUAGUGCGCUCUGUCUUCCAGGAAACAGAGACUUCUCUCUAAGCUCGGCUUCCUACGGUUUUCUUGCCCUGAAGUUUCUGCGCUUCUGAGAAGCGGGUCACUAGUUACAACUCCUGCAUGGGACCGGUGUGAGACGGAAAAGUGUCUCUUUUCAUUGCGUGGUGGCUCACGUCGGUAAUCUCCGCAUCAAACAGCCGAAUCUUUAAAGAGAACUUUCAGAACAAAGUAUGAAGUUUCAUACUAAGAACAGUGAAAACUAGUGGGUGGGUGUCUGAAGACGAAAACCAAGGGGCAGGAGAUAUGACUCACCAGUUAAAUGCACUUUUCAUUCAUCCAGACUCCCAAUACCCACACGGUGGCUCUUAAAACAGCCGUGACUCCCAAGUCGCGCUCCCGUUUGACCUAUAUGCAAGCAAAACAUUCAUACUCAAAAUUUUUAAAAAGAUUAAACCCAAGAAAUAUGGGUUUUGCCCUUUUACAAAUGGUAAUUUUGUAAUCCAAAGAUUUAAAAGCAAUUAUUGGUAACAGUCAUUUGUGGGAGGCUGAGGCAGGGGGAUCCCUGCAGUUAAAGAAAACCUGGCCUAAUGAGUGAAUUCCAGUACCGCCUGAGCUAGAAUGAGACUCAGAAUGGACAAGAAAAGUGUUUAAAUCCAGUCUGCUGAAAUGACAAGAUGGCUCCUGAGUCCUAGGACCUGAGCUCAAUCUCCAGUAUUCCUAUGGCAAAAGAGAACUCGCUCUUAGAAGCCAUCCUUUGACCUCUAGCCACAAGCCAUGACCAUCCAUGCACACAAAAAAUAAAGAUAAUGGG